UGUCAACUGGCUGCAGAAGAAAAACAAGGUACACCUCAGCUGUGACAGUGGCAUGUUCUGUUGCUUUCAGAUUCCCUCUGCCUUCCACCUCUGACUGAAGAAAUUUCCAAAUGGGAAGCAACUGAAAAUUCUGUUGAUCAGAUGAAGAACCCACCCUAGGCUCUCAGCCUUAAGUGGAAGCAGAGGAAAGUUUUCUGAAGGCCGGUGGAUUGGAUCUCCUGAGUUCUGAACACCACUGGAAAAGCUUCCAUUGAAGCCUCACCUUUGCUGAGCCUUAAAGGGGAUGUGCUGUCUUUCUUGGAUCUCUCAUGGUAUUGCCUGGAGAUGAAGGAGGCAUAAAACAGCAGCUGGGCUCACAUUUCCUGACUCACAUUUCCUGACUCACUGCUUCACAAUGACAUGGCUGCAAAUAACAAAUGUUGGAUGGAGACGCGUGCAUGAGGAAAAGACUUCCAGAGUCAAAGUUUUGAUUGGCUCACAAAAGGAUUGUCAGCACAGAAUGACUUCUGUUUCAUCCAUACAUCAGAACCUUUGCAACUUCUGACAAUCAGGCCCCUGCUGAAAAAUAUCUGGGAUAAGAAGAGCUAAAGAAAACAUAGAGGGCUUGGUGGUUCAGUCUUCAACAACAACAACAAGCUGAAAGGUGAAACAAUAAUCAAAUCUCUGCCAUGUUUUACAAGAACAGAAAACAAAUCUCUCUCUCAUACUCAUGAAUGUCAGUUGAAGUGACCUUUAAAAAGUGUGAUGGUUCAGAGAAAAAAAGAGAAACGUAUACUUUUGGAUUGAGAAUGUCAUCAACAUGUUAGUCAGAAUCUUUGGAUUUGAAAAAAAUUCGUUAUCUUUGCCAGUUUACUUCAAAUGUUGAAGAUGGGAAAGUACUGCAUUAUGUAAGGCUUUGAGAUUUGAAACAAAAGAAAAGAGAGUUGAGGAGUUUGCAAUGGUUUGUGGUUUGAUUGAUCACUUCUUCUCUAUCACAUGCAUUAAUGACUUUACUAUUCCCAUAAAUUCUUCCUUUGACCUUUCUGUUAAAAUAUGAUGACAAAAUGACAAGUGCAUUUCUUACAGUUUUUGGACCAAGAACAUGUUGUGUAUUAUCCCUUGAGAGCCUGUGCUAGCAUUUUUCCAAAUGUUUUUCUUUCAUGUGGUAGCCUAAAUUCCUUAUUCUCCAUCUCUUCAAGAUCCAUGUUAAAUAUUGGUCCAAAGGGUGGGUUUUUUGAUUAAUUUUAUAUUGCAUGUAUUUCCUUUUAUAAUUACAUUGUCUUAUGGGUUCAGGAAUCUUUCUAAGUUAAUUCUAAGUUUCAUGAAGAAAUCCCCUUGGUAGAAGGAGAAAAGUCCAUUUUGGAUUCUAUGUGCAAAGGAAAAAAUAAAUUUGAAAUUACUGUAAUGGUUGUUCUUGUG
Molecule: long non-coding RNA, 1398 nt
Organism: Parus major (Great Tit)
Lineage: Eukaryota; Metazoa; Chordata; Aves; Passeriformes; Paridae
Source: Ensembl